Molecule: ribosomal RNA, 761 nt
Filed under: Caloplaca altoandina
Lineage: Eukaryota; Fungi; Ascomycota; Lecanoromycetes; Teloschistales; Teloschistaceae
Description: LSU rRNA
Rfam family: Eukaryotic large subunit ribosomal RNA
Source: RNAcentral
CGGGCGACGCGCCGGUCUAAGUCCCUUGGAACGGGGCGUCAUAGAGGGUGAGAAUCCCGUAUGUGACCGGGGACCGAGCCCAUGUGAAACUCCUUCGACGAGUCGAGUUGUUUGGGAAUGCAGCUCAAAAUGGGUGGUAAAUUUCAUCUAAAGCUAAAUACCGGCCAGAGACCGAUAGCGCACAAGUAGAGUGAUCGAAAGAUGAAAAGCACUUUGGAAAGAGAGUCAAACAGUACGUGAAAUUGUUGAAAGGGAAGCGCUUGCAACCAGACCUGCCCGCGGGCGAUCAGCCGUUCUUCUGGGCGGUGCACUCGCCCGUGAUCAGGCCAGCAUCGGUUCGGGCGGCCGGAGAAAGGCCUUGGGAACGUAGCUCCUUUCGGGGAGUGUUAUAGCCCUCGGCGCAAUGCGGCCAGCCCGGACCGAGGACCGCGCUUCGGCUAGGAUGCUGGCGUAAUGGUUGUAAGCGGCCCGUCUUGAAACACGGACCAAGGAGUCUAACAUCUAUGCGAGUGUUUGGGUGUCAAACCCAUACGCGUAAUGAAAGUGAACGGAGGUGGGAACCCUUCGGGGCGCACCAUCGACCGAUCCAGAUGUCUUCGGAUGGAUUUGAGUACGAGCAUAGCUGUUGGGACCCGAAAGAUGGUGAACUAUGCCUGAAUAGGGUGAAGCCAGAGGAAACUCUGGUGGAGGCUCGCAGCGGUUCUGACGUGCAAAUCGAUCGUCAAAUUUGGGCAUAGGGGCGAAAGACUAAUCGAACCAUC